UACAUGUGGGGCAAGCGUUGUUCGGAAUUACUGGGCAUAAAGGGUGCGUAGGCGGCUUGUUAAGUCAGGGGUGAAAGUUUUCGGCCCAACCGGAAAAUUGCCUUUGAUACUGGCGAGCUUGAGUGCGUGAGGGGUAACCGGAACGAGCAGUGUAGCGGUGAAAUGCGUAGAUAUCGAGAGGAACACCUGCGGCGAAGGCGGGUUGCUGGGCCGACACUGACGCUGAUGCGCGAAAGCCAGGGGAGCGAACGGG
RNAcentral lists this ribosomal RNA (253 nucleotides) under uncultured bacterium. RNAcentral's name for it is "partial 16S ribosomal RNA". It matches the Rfam family "Bacterial small subunit ribosomal RNA", at positions 524 to 776 of the family's 1533-position model. The record is from RNAcentral.